RNAcentral lists this unclassified non-coding RNA (554 nucleotides) under Hevea brasiliensis (rubber tree). Lineage: Eukaryota; Viridiplantae; Streptophyta; Magnoliopsida; Malpighiales; Euphorbiaceae. The record is from RNAcentral.
AGAAGUAAACAUGAUUUACAAGCUGUAGCAACCAACAAGAAGCCAUUCAACACUUUUAACUCCAAGAAUUAAAACAAUGAUGUGUCCUAACUAUGAAAGUUGCACUUAUCAAAUAAAAAGAUAGUAAAUUCUAAGAGUAUCUAUAUUAAGGCCCUUGUCAGUUAUGGUAUGCAACUAUGUUCAUGAUCUGCAUUUUCACAGAGAAUCAAUAAGCAAGUAAGUCCUAACACAGUGGCAAGAGAGAGAAAUAACAUGCUUCUCCAACAUGAAGAAAUAUCAAGGUCAUGUGGACAGAAAGAAGAAAUGUCAAGGUCAUGCGGACAGAAAAGCUGAGAGUUGAAACAAUAAUUUAAAAUCUGCAGAAUAGGAAUAGGGGAUCAGCACCUUCAAGCCCUCACACAAUCGUUCAGUGUCGUGCAAGCAGGUAUCACCCAAAAAACACGUGGGAAAUAUUCAAUAAUUACGUAGGCCACUCAGAAACAGAAGAGAGAGAGAGAGAGAAUAAAAACCAGAUAUGUUACGUUACUCACCAAGCUAUAGAAUAAGUGGACAAA